UCUUAAACUAAUUAGUACCGCCAUAUUUUUUUCAAUUUUUGGAUUUACAUGUUUUUAUCAGGUCAAGCAGGAUGAUAUCUCUGGUUCUCAUGACAUUUGGGAUGCUUGAAACUUUAUUAUCUUUUGAGUGAAGAGCCGUCUUUGUUUUGCAAACACUACCUGGAUAGAAAAUCCUACAAAGCGUUUGUAGAGAAGCAUACGGAAGCUAUGUUUGACAAAUGCCUGAUAUACAGGUUAGGCUCUGUAAAAAAUGAUUCACAGACAAUAAUGUAAUGGAUUCUGUUAUAUUAAUACAUUAUCA
Molecule: long non-coding RNA, 301 nt
Filed under: Hordeum vulgare
Lineage: Eukaryota; Viridiplantae; Streptophyta; Magnoliopsida; Poales; Poaceae
Description: long non-coding RNA (HVUL_LNC000890)
Source: RNAcentral